CUCAAUCAUGUUUCCAGUCCCCUUAGCCUUCUUUACUGCAGCUUCCUUCUCUGAAUCUUUGAGCUGGGAGUAGAUCCAUCUUAACCACUAUCCAUCCCAGCCAUCUCCGUAUCUUCCUUAGCUCAUGUGACUCUCCAUGAUGGUUUUCUCAGGUGUUUUAACUAAGGCUAUGCAGCUGGGCUGGAUCUGAAGGAAGCCCUGGGGUCAGCGGAACUGGGCCGACAGGAGCUGAGCUACAGGUAAGACCGAGCAAGCCCUCACUGGAGAGACAACUGCAGCAGGUGUGGGAGAACUGGCUGCCAAGUAGUGAGAAGAUAAAAGGCUGGACCCAGCAUAAGGACACAUCUGAGUACACAUGGAGACAUGUGUAUGGGGAAGUUCACCAUGCAGUGGGAAGGAAAGCAGAGGCUCUACCAAGGUCCUGACUUCAGCUGAGAGGGGAAUGAAGAGGUUUUAUACCUAUCCUUGAGCAGUCACUGAAGGCUGGCUGUAAAACAUUUUGCCAGGUGUGUUCCUGGAAGGGCUGAUGGAUGAUGAAGAGGACUUUGGCUGAUGCAGAGACAAAGGGGAGACUUCAAUGUUACAGGCUUUGCAAACUGGUUGCUCUGCAG
Neopsephotus bourkii (Bourke's parrot) is the source of this 611-nucleotide long non-coding RNA. RefSeq lists it as uncharacterized. Lineage: Eukaryota; Metazoa; Chordata; Aves; Psittaciformes; Psittacidae. The record is from RefSeq and is a predicted model, not a curated record. The transcript is spliced from 3 exons.